CCUACGGGACGCUGCAGUGGGGAAUAUUGGACAAUGGGCGAAAGCCUGAUCCAGCCAUGCCGCGUGUGUGAAGAAGGCCUUCGGGUUGUAAAGCACUUUCAGUGGGGAAGAAAGCCUUGGGGCUAAUACCCUCGAGGAAGGACAUCACCCACAGAAGAAGCACCGGCUAACUCCGUGCCAGCAGCCGCGGUAAUACGGAGGGUGCGAGCGUUAAUCGGAAUUACUGGGCGUAAAGCGCGCGUAGGCGGUCUGAUAAGCCGGUUGUGAAAGCCCCGGGCUCAACCUGGGAACGGCAUCCGGAACUGUCAGGCUAGAGUGCAGGAGAGGAAGGUAGAAUUCCCGGUGUAGCGGUGAAAUGCGUAGAGAUCGGGAGGAAUACCAGUGGCGAAGGCGGCCUUCUGGACUGACACUGACGCUGAGGUGCGAAAGCGUGGGUAGCAAACAGGAUUAGAUACCCUUGUAGUC
This 465-nucleotide ribosomal RNA is filed under the name Vreelandella stevensii. RNAcentral describes it as "partial 16S ribosomal RNA". It matches the Rfam family "Bacterial small subunit ribosomal RNA", at positions 338 to 795 of the family's 1533-position model. The record is from RNAcentral. Lineage: Bacteria; Pseudomonadati; Pseudomonadota; Gammaproteobacteria; Oceanospirillales; Halomonadaceae.